This 245-nucleotide unclassified non-coding RNA is filed under the name Hevea brasiliensis (rubber tree). The record is from RNAcentral. Lineage: Eukaryota; Viridiplantae; Streptophyta; Magnoliopsida; Malpighiales; Euphorbiaceae.
AAUAAAUCAACUAUAUACCCAUUACUUUAAAAACCCAUUCAUUACCUCUAAAAACUUACACCCAAAUGUCAAUCAAGCAUUAGAUGUAUAACAAGUACCACAAAAGAACUUAAAGUGUUGUGAUGCUAUUAACAAAUAGAAGAGCAGAGCCAAGAAAAAAAGCACAAGUAGCAAUUCUUACUCAGUUGAGUUCACCGUCAGCAAUUAAAGAAAAGAAAUUUGAUUGAGGGAAAUGGAGAGAAGAG